GAUGAACGCUGGCGGCGUGCCUAAUACAUGCAAGUCGAGCGAACAGACGAGGAGCUUGCUCCUCUGACGUUAGCGGCGGACGGGUGAGUAACACGUGGGUAACCUACCUAUAAGACUGGGAUAACUUCGGGAAACCGGAGCUAAUACCGGAUAAUAUAUUGAACCGCAUGGUUCAAUAGUGAAAGACGGUUUUGCUGUCACUUAUAGAUGGAUCCGCGCCGCAUUAGCUAGUUGGUAAGGUAACGGCUUACCAAGGCAACGAUGCGUAGCCGACCUGAGAGGGGGAUCGGCCACACUGGAACUGAGACACGGUCCAGACUCCUACGGGAGGCAGAAGUAGGGAAUCUUCCGCAAUGGGCGAAAGCCUGACGGAGCAACGCCGCGUGAGUGAUGAAGGUCUUCGGAUCGUAAAACUCUGUUAUUAGGGAAGAACAAAUGUGUAAGUAACUAUGCACGUCUUGACGGUACCUAAUCAGAAAGCCACGGCUAACUACGUG
RNAcentral lists this ribosomal RNA (497 nucleotides) under uncultured bacterium. RNAcentral describes it as "partial 16S ribosomal RNA". It matches the Rfam family "Bacterial small subunit ribosomal RNA", at positions 28 to 507 of the family's 1533-position model. The record is from RNAcentral.